CAAGUCGAGCGAGGCGGCCCGCAAGGGUCAGUCGAGCGGCGAACGGGUGAGUAACGCGUGGAUAACCUGCCCUUUAGUGGGGAACAACCAGGGGAAACUCUGGCUAAUACCGCAUAAGACCGUAAGGUGAAAGGGGGCUCGCAAGAGCUCUCGCUGAAGGAGGGGUCCGCGUCCGAUUAGCUAGUUGGUAGGGUAAUGGCCUACCAAGGCGACGAUCGGUAGCCGGCCUGAGAGGGUGAUCGGCCACACUGGAACUGAGACACGGUCCAGACUCCUACGGGAGGCAGCAGUGGGGAAUUUUGCGCAAUGGGCUAACGCCUGACGCAGCAACGCCGCGUGGAGGAUGAAGGUCUUUGGAUUGUAAACUCCUGUCAGCGGGGAAAAAGCGACCGGUGCUCAUACCACCGGGAGUUGAUUGUACCCGCAGAGGAAGCCCCGGCUAACUCUGUGCCAGCAGCCGCGGUAAUACAGAGGGGGCAAGCGUUAUUCGGAAUUAUUGGGCGUAAAGGGCGCGUAGGCGGCUUCGCAAGUGGAAGGUGAAAUCCCUCGGCUUAACCGAGGAACUGCCCUCCAAACUGCGUUGCUUGAGGCCGGGAGAGGUGAGUGGAAUUCCCAGUGUAGCGGUGAAAUGCGUAGAUAUUGGGAGGAACACCAGUGGCGAAGGCGGCUCACUGGACCGGUUCUGACGCUGAUGCGCGAAAGCGUGGGGAGCAAACGGGAUUAGAUACCCCGGUAGUCCACGCCGUAAACGAUGAGUGCUUGGUGUAGCGGGUAUCGACCCCUGCUGUGCCGAAGUCAACACAUUAAGCACUCCGCCUGGGGAGUACGGUCCCAAGGCUGAAACUCAAAGGAAUUGAC
RNAcentral lists this ribosomal RNA (858 nucleotides) under uncultured Bacillota bacterium. Its description in RNAcentral is "bacterial SSU rRNA". It matches the Rfam family "Bacterial small subunit ribosomal RNA", at positions 58 to 914 of the family's 1533-position model. Lineage: Bacteria; Bacillati; Bacillota. The record is from RNAcentral.